UUAAUAAAAAUCGGCGUGUUGCUCUUUUGUGACGUUCCGGAGUUUGGGUCAUCUUAUAACAACACCUUUUCAGGGUAUUUUUAAGAGGCUUAAAAUUGACCUUUUUUGUGCAUUUUAGACGUACAUAAACUUUUUUUUAUUCGUUUAUCUUAAUGCCAAAAUCCAUUAGAUGCGACCAUAUCGUGUGGUUCCGUGUCUAUAAAUUUUUCAUG
RNAcentral lists this unclassified non-coding RNA (212 nucleotides) under Rhizophagus irregularis. RNAcentral describes it as "partial internal transcribed spacer 2". Lineage: Eukaryota; Fungi; Glomeromycota; Glomeromycetes; Glomerales; Glomeraceae. The record is from RNAcentral.